This 468-nucleotide ribosomal RNA is filed under the name uncultured bacterium. Its description in RNAcentral is "partial 16S ribosomal RNA". It matches the Rfam family "Bacterial small subunit ribosomal RNA", at positions 28 to 507 of the family's 1533-position model. The record is from RNAcentral.
GACGAACGCUGGCGGCGUGCUUAACACAUGCAAGUCGAACGGAAAGGCCCUGCUUUUGUGGGGUGCUCGAGUGGCGAACGGGUGAGUAACACGUGAGUAACCUGCCCUUGACUUUGGGAUAACUUCAGGAAACUGGGGCUAAUAACGGAUAGGAGCUCCUGCUGCAUGGUGGGGGUUGGAAAGUUUCGGCGGUUGGGGAUGGACUCGCGGCUUAUCAGCUUGUUGGUGGGGUAGUGGCUUACCAAGGCUUUGACGGGUAGCCGGCCUGAGAGGGUGACCGGCCACAUUGGGACUGAGAUACGGCCCAGACGCCUACGGGAGGCAGCGGUGGGGAAUAUUGCAGAAUGGGCGGAAGCCUGAUGCAGCAACGCCGCGUGCGGGAUGACGGCCUUCGGGUUGUAAACCGCUUUCGCCUGUGACGAAGCGUGAGUGACGGUAAUGGGUAAAGAAGCACCGGCUAACUACGUG